This 22471-nucleotide unclassified non-coding RNA is filed under the name Anthonomus grandis grandis. RNAcentral's name for it is "roundabout homolog 2-like". Lineage: Eukaryota; Metazoa; Arthropoda; Insecta; Coleoptera; Curculionidae. The record is from RNAcentral.
UCAGUCGACUUACGCGGAUCGGCCCUUGUGGUACGUCUAACGGAAGAUCGUCGCGAAUUGUCACGAUAUUAUUACGCGAUUGAUUCAAACGAAAAAAUGUGGCUAAAUAAGUGAACGAUUUAGGGGCUUUUGUGGUUGAAAUAAUGAGCGUUUUUGUGCGUAUAUUGUACUGAAAAGGGUGCGCAUUUAUAUCGGCGAGAUGGGGUGGUUCUUAUGGUUCUUCUUUUUUCAUGGAUAUACCCGGAUAAUUACAGGUUAUCACCAUACCACCCAGCAACCCCCGAGGAUCAUUGAGCAUCCGUUAGACACCACCGUGGCGAGACACGACCCGGCCACCCUUAAUUGCCAGGCGCAGGGUGAACCGGAACCCACCAUCGCUUGGUACAAAGACGGAGUCCUACUGAGGACCACCAGCCAGGACUCUCGCUCCCACCGCGUGAUCCUACCCACGGGAAAUCUGUUCUUUUUAAGGGUGAGCCAGGGCAGGAAGGAGUCGGACGCGGGGGUGUAUUGGUGCGAGGCGAGCAACGCCUUGGGGAAGGUGAAGAGUAGGAAUGCCACCCUUACAGUUGCAGUACUUCGAGAUGAAUUCCGACUAGAACCCCAAAGCGGGCGAGUGGCGGCAGGCGAGGACAUCAUCAUGGAAUGCUCCCCGCCCAGAGGCACCCCCGAGCCCCAGGUUUUCUGGAGAAAAGACGGCAAAACCCUGGAGUUGGGCGGCAGAUUGAAACUGGUCGACGGAUUCAAUUUGGCCAUCACCGAUUCAAAAGCGUCGGACGACGGCAGGUACCAGUGCGUGGCCAAAAACACCGCCGGACUGAGAGAAAGCUCUGUGGCGAUCCUAAAAGUUUACGUCAAACCGUUCAUGAUCCAGCCCCCGAAAGACGUAACCGCCCUAGUAGGCUCCACCAUAGAACUCCCGUGCACCGUAGGAGGCGACCCGGUGCCCGACGUCUUCUGGAAACGCCAAGCUCCAGGAGGCACCAUGCCCCUAGGACGCGUCAGGGUCCUAGAGGACCGCUCCUUACGCCUGGAAGACAUCAGCCUAAUGGACCAAGGUCGUUACACCUGCGAGGCUGACAACUCCGCCGGCCUAAUUUCCGCCAGCGCGUUCGUAACCGUCCAUGCACCGCCGGCGUUCACCGCCCGCCCCUCCGCCCAAACCGUCGAGGUGGGUCAACAAGUUUCCUUCCAGUGCCACGUCACCGGUAGCCCAAAACCCUUGAUCUUCUGGUCGUUUGAGGGCGAUCGCACCCUGAUAUACCCCGGAGCUUCCGCGGGGAACUUUGAGGCCUACACGUCCAUAGAAGGCCAUUCCACCCUGAUGCUCAAGAACGCCCAACUGCAAAACACUGGCACAGUUAUAAUAUGCUCGGCGGUAAAUGAAGCGGGCUCCGUUUCCACCAGGACGAGGUUAACGGUGACGUCAAAAGAAGAUCGACCGCCUCCAGUUAUAGUGCGGGGCCCCAGCAACCAAACACUGCCCACGCAUUCGAUGGCGUUUCUUGUGUGCGAGGCCACCGGGAGUCCUAAGCCGGUGAUCUCUUGGUACAAAGAGGGCGUCCCGGUGGCCCCUUCUAACAGAAUCAACAUGUCCAACCCGGAGUUGGUUUCAAUCUCUCAGCUGUCCAAGGAGGACUCGGGAGCGUACACUUGCGUGGCCUCCUCGCGUGGCGGCAAGGCCACCUGGACCGGGCACCUAUUGGUGGAGAACCCCAAGAACCCCAACAUAAACUUUUUCAAAGCUCCGGAGGCGGUGAUGGUGCCCGGGCCCCCCAGUAGACCCCACGCGAUCAACCAAUCCGAAGGCAGCGUGACGAUCUCCUGGGGGCAAAACAACAAAAUCGGCUCCUCCAGUUUGUUGGGGUACCAGAUUGAGUUGUUCGGGAGGGAGGAGGGGGUCACCCCCACUUGGACCGUGGUGGCCAGACGUGUCCCGGGGCCUACGUUCACGCAGCAUCUCCUCACGCCCGGGAUCCCCUAUACGUUUCUGGUGAGGGCGGAGAACUCGCACGGUCUUGGGCCCCCCUCGCCUCUCUCGGAACCGAUUGUGGUGGGGCCGGACUUGGGGCAGAACUGGGGAAGUCCCGAGGUCACUGUCCUAAGUGAGGCACGGGCCAGUCUGGUGACGAAUCCGGAAUUAGUGAGGCUCACUGAUGCCAUCCCGGUCUCAUCCACGGCGGUUAAGUUGGCUUGGGAGGUGGUCGAUUCCACUUAUGUCGAGGGGUUGUAUAUUUAUUAUGUUAGUAUUGAGGCCGCCCCGGAUGUGGCCAAAGGGUACAGCAUGCUUACGGUGCUACACACUGGGACCACGAGCAGUUUCACGGUGAACAAUUUGGAAAAGUGGGCCAGAUAUGAGUUCUUUUUGAUCCCGUUUUAUAAGGCGAUAGAGGGGCAGCCUUCUAAUUGUAAAACCGUUAGGACCUUGGAGGAUGUUCCCACGGAGCCUCCCACUCACAUGGAGGCCCUCCUCCUCAACUCCACCGCGGUUAAACUCAAAUGGAAGCCUCCGGCCCCUUCGGCACUGAAUGGCGACCUGGAGGGCUACAAGUUGGAGUUGAAAACAAACGACUCUGCCACCCCUAGAGUGAUCAGCGUGGGGUCGGCGCCCUCGUAUCUGCUCGGCAAUUUAUCCUCCGGGGUGCUCUAUUACGUGAGGGUGGCUGCCUUUACUAGCGCGGGAGUGGGGCCUUAUUGUCCUGCCUCCACUUUAAGAUUGGAUCCUGCCACGAGAGUCAUUGAUAAUAAUAUGCAAAGACCGAUCGGCGCGGACAUGCAACCGGACAACUUCGUGACCGAAACCUGGUUCAUGGCCCUCCUGAUAAGCAUGAUCCUGGUGAUGGUGAUCCUAUUUGGAGCGAUGUUCUUCGUGCGUCGUCGCCAACUCCUCUCCAAGAAAACCAUGACCCCCUCCAGAUCCAACGGGGGCGUCCUCAGCACCCCACUGGCCACCAAACAGGAAACCCCCCUGUGGCUAGACAAGGAUGUGCCCGACUACGCGACCACAUUCCCGGAAUAUUCCAAGCUCAACCCGGAAUACCCCGGACGCAAUCCGGAGUAUUCCAACGGCAGCUUACCGACCCAAAACGGGAAUAUUAAUUUACACACGAACCCGCUGCACGCGCAGUACAACAGGCCGGAUAAGUUGGAAUACGGUUCGGAGAGUGGAUAUCCGAUCGGGAGGAAGUACAACGAUUAUAAUUUGCUGCAGGUGCAAGAGUAUGCGAGUCCUAACGUGGGGAACGAGCGGGGCUCCCAGAUGGCGGAUUAUGCGGAAGUCGAUGCGAAUAUCGGCAGCGUGAAGGCCGGGAGUGGUAGUACUUCUCCCGCACCUUAUGCUACCACCACUUUGGUUACCGGAAGUAGAAGAGUGCUCUGGAACGCCUCAGCCCUCUCGACAGACGACGAAUCCCCUUAUCCGGCCUCCAAUGGCGGCUACUACAACAGAAAAGUCUACUCCGACUCCUACUUCGCGCCCGCGCACACUCUACGCCGCUCCAAGAAACACCACGACCACCAGCACAGCAGGAAGAACUCGCAGGAGAAAGCGGCGAACCCGCCGGACUUGGUGUCGCCCAAUUCCAGUCACGGGCAGCCGGUUUAUGCCAGGGUGGGGCCGCCCGCCCUUUCCUGGAGAAAUGGGGCGGCUGCGGGGCUGAGCAGUUUCAGUCCAGGGGCGGCCAGACACGUGUACCUCGGCUCCUCCAGGAGCGAACCGGGGAGUAUGUUGUAAUUAGGUGUUCCGGGGAGAGGGAGGUUAACUUAAGUUAAUUUAGUGGAAGUAGGGUUGGGAAUGGGGAUUGAAGCCGCUUCUUCAUUUGGGAUGGAUCCAGUUUCCUGGAUGCUUUCCAUGGCAUUUUAAAAAUUAUUAUUUGAUGUAUAGAAUGUCCUAGUUUCGUAUGUUCUAUGGGGUUUGCCGCUUAUGAAGGGAGAUGGAAAGAUGCGAUCUACUGAUAAAUAGUUUGCCAUACUUAUCUUAGUUUUUGUGCUACAGGGUGAUUUUGAAAAAAAAUAAUUUUUAAUCAUAUUAUCAUCAGACAUAUUAAAGAAGUAAAAACUGAUAUUAGUAGAUUUUUAUGAGUAGAAUUCAGUGGCGUACUCAAAUUUUUUUGGAGGUAACAGUUUUGGCGAUAUUAUAUUAGGACACCCUAUAAAUUUUUUUUUGGAACUUGUUUCCGGUUGCUAAAAGUGACAAAAUGAUUUUUUUAUAUAUUUUACAUUAAUAAUAAUAGAUGGUCGUGGGUAACCAUUGUAAAGCAAACAAAUUCCUAUUCCAAGAGAGUCUGUAAGAAUCAAAUAAUUUGUCUCGUAUUGGAACAUCAAUAUCUUAAGUUCUAGUUGUCAACAUUUUGUAAUAAUUGAUUUUUGGGAGACUCUUAAGUCUGUUUAACACUUUUUUGAAAAUAUUACUAAAAUCUAUUUACUGAAAGUCAAGAUAUUGGAAUUCUUAUACCAAGAGGGUCUGGAAGGAACAAAAUAAUUUGUCUCUUAUUGGAACGUCAAUAUUUAAAGUUCUAGUAGUCAAGAUUCUGGAAAUAUUAAUUUUUGAAAGACUUUGAAGACCUUUUUAGGCAUUUUUGAAGAAAUUAUUAAAAUCCAUACACUAAAAGUCAAGAUAUUGAAAUUUUCAUUCCAGGAGUGACUGUUUGGAACAAAGUAAUUUGUCUCUUAUUGGUACCUCAAUAUCUUAAAUUCAAGUGGUCAAAAUUCUUUAAAUAUUGAUUCCUGGGAGGCUCUGAAGGCUUUUUUAGUCUUUUUUGAAAAAAUUACCAAAAUCCAUGCACUGAAAGUCAAAAUAUUGGAAUUCUCAUUCCAGGAGUGCCUGUAAGAAACAAACUUAUUUGUCUCUUCAUGGAACGUCAAUAUCUUAAUUUCUAAUAGUAAACAUUUCGAAAUCAUUGAUUUUUCGGAGACUCUUAAGUCUGUUUAACACUUUUUUGAAAAAAUUACUAAAAUCUAUUUACUAAAAGUCAAGAUAUUGAAUUUUUUAUUCCAGGAGGGGCUGUUUGGAACAAAAUAGUUUGUCUCUUAUUGGCACGUCAAUCUUUUAAGUUUCAGUAGUCAAAAUUCUUUAAUUAUUGAUUCCUGGGAGACUCUAAAGGCUUUUCUAGUCUUUUUUGAAGAAAUUUUAGAAAUCCAUGUGUUGGAAUUCAAAAUAUUGGGAUUCUUAUUCCAGGAGUGCCUGUAAGAAACAAACUAAUUUGUCUCUUAAUGGAACGGCAAUAUCUUAACUUCUAAUAGUAAACAUUUCGAAAUCAUUGAUUUUUGGGAGACUCUUAAGACUAUUUAACACUUUUUUUAAAAAAUUACUAAAAUCUAUUUACUAAAAGUCAAGAUAUUGAAUUUUUUAUUCCAGGAGGGGCUGUUUGGAACAAAAUAAUUUGUCUCUUAUUGGCACGUCAAUAUUUUAAGUUCUAGUAGUCAAAAUUCUUUAAUUAUUGAUUCCUGGGAGACUCUGAAGGCUUUUUUAGUCUUUUUUGAAAAAAUAACCAAAAUCCAUGCACUGAAAGUCAAGAUAUUGGAAUUCUUAUUCCAGGAGUGCCUGUAAGAAACAAACUUAUUUGUCUCUUCAUGGAACGUCAAUAUCUUAAUUUCUAAUAGUAAACAUUUCGAAAUCAUUGAUUUUUGGGAGACUCUUAAGUCUGUUUAACACUUUUUUGAAAAAAUUACUAAAAUCUAUUUACUGAAAGUCAAGAUAUUGGAAUUCUCAUUCCAGGAGUGCCUGUAAGAAACAAACUAAUUUGUCUCUUAAUGGAACGUCAAUAUCUUAAUUUCUAAUAGUAAACAUUUCGAAAUCGUUGAGUUUUGGGAGACUCUUAAGUCUGUUUAACACUUUUUUGAAAAAAUUACUAAGAUCUAUUUACUGAAAGUCAAGAUAUUGGAAUUCUUAUACCAAGAGGGUCUGAAAGGAACAAAAUGAUUUGUCUCUUAUUGGCACGUCAAUAUCUUAAGUUCAAGUGGUCAAAAUUCUUCAAAUAUUGAUUCCUGGGAGACUCUGAAGGCUUUUUUAGCCUUUUUUGAAAAAAUUACCAAAAUCCAUGCACUGAAAGUUAAAAUAUUGGAAUUCUUAUUCUAGGAGUGCCUGUAAGAAACAAACUAGUUUGUCUCUUAAUGCAACGUCAAUAUCUUAAUUUCUAAUAGUAGACAUUUUUAAAUAAUUGAUUUUUGGGAGACUCUUAAGACUAUUUAACACUUUUUUGAAAAAAUUACUAAAAUCUAUUUACUAAAAGUCAAGAUAUUGAAUUUUUUAUUCCAGGAGGGGCUGUUUGGAACAAAAUAGUUUGUCUCUUAUUGGCACGUCAAUAUUUUAAGUUUCAGUAGUCAAAAUUCUUUAAUUAUUGAUUCCUGGGACACUCUAAAGGCUUUUCUAGUCUUUUUUGAAGAAAUUUUAGAAAUCCAUGUGUUGGAAUUCAAAAUAUUGGGAUUCUUAUUCCAGGAGUGCCUGUAAGAAACAAAUUAAUUUGUCUCUUAAUGGAACGUCAAUAUCUUAAUUUCUAAUAGCAAAUAUUUCAAAAUCAUUGAUUUUUGAAAGACUCUUAAGUCUGUUUAACACUUUUUUGAAAAAAUUACUAAAAUCUAUUUACUAAAAAAGAAGAUAUUGAAAUUUUUAUUACAGGAGUGGCUGUUUAAAACAAAAUAACUUGUCUCCUAUUGGCACGUCAAUAUCUUAAGUUCAAGUAGUCAAAAUUCUUUAAAUAUUGAUUCCUGGGAGGCUCUGAAGGCUUUUUUAGUAUUUUUUGAAAAAAUUACCAAAAUCCAUGCACUGAAAGUCAAAAUAUUGGAAUUCUUAUUCCAGGAGUGCCUGUAAGAAACAAACCAAUUUGUCUCCUAAUGGAACGUCAAUAUCUUAAUUUCUAAUAGUAAACAUUUUGAAAUAAUUGUUUUUUGGGACACUUUUAAGGCUAUUUUCCGAUUCUUUAAUAGAUACACUAUUUCAAUUAAAAUUCAAUAAAUUUUUUGAAUAUUCCGAUAAUAUCCAGAAAAAAUCGAAUAUUCUCAGAAGAAAAGAAAUCUCCAAGGAAUAUCUAAAUAUAAUUUUUAAUUAGCUAAUUUUUCUUAUUAGAAUAUAAAACUACAUGUUAAGAAUAAUAUUCUAGGAAUUUUAACUGGUACUCCAAUUAAUGAGUUAAAAAUUAAAAACUUUCAGAUCAAGAGUAUUCCUGACAAACAAUCUGAGAAUAUUGACCUGAUACUAGUGUACCAAUCAAUCAACCGGGUUUUUCCCUAUUGCUCUAGAAUAUUCUUGGUUUUACUCUAUAUGUUGUAUACAUAUAUUAGCAAAGAGGAAUUUUAUGAAGAAUAUUCCUAAAGGAGUUUAUUGCAUAUUUCUUAAAUUAAUUUAAAUAUACUAUAAGAGUCUAUGAAUGUUUUUUUUUAAUUAAUUAAUGAACGGAUCUGUUUCGAAUAUUUUUUAAUUAAAUAUUCAAUCUAUUUUGAAAAUAUUCUUUAUUAAGGAAUAUUCUAGACCUUUAAAACACUAUAUAUAUAUAUACAAUUAAAUUAAAUUAUUAUCCUUGUUUCUCUGCAGAAGCAUUUUCAGUUACAUUUUUUAAUUAUUGCAUGUUGUCAUAUUGCCUUGAAAAAACUUUAUUCUUUCAAUACCCCAACAAAAAAAAAAUCCAAAACCGACAGACCCCGUGAUCCUGGUGGCCAUCGACUCCAAUUGUUCCAAUCAAUCUCCUGGGAAAAAUGUUCAUUUAGCCAGUUCUGUAUUAUUCUAGUAUAAGUAUUUGUAUUAUUCUUGGAGCGUUCUUCUAAACUACAAAACUAAGUACAGGAUCUUUAUCCUAAAAGGAGGAACUUGAAGGGUCGAAUUAAGUGGAAAAUCAUUUGAAACUGACAAUUUGAAAGUACAGGAAUUCCUGAAAGACUAAGAGACCUCCUCAAACUUCUAAGAACUCCAACAAGCAACUUUAAGGGUCAAUUUAAGUGGAAUUUCGUUCUAAAGAAGUCCAGGAGUUUGUUGAAGUACAGAAUGCUGAAAAACAUGUCCAAAUAAGUCCGGAAGUCCCUGAAAGACUGUAAUAGAGCUUCUCAUUUUUUUAACUGCUUCAAGAAGGAACUUGAAGGGUAGAAUUAAGUUGAAAAUGAUUUUAAAGAAGUCCAUGAGUUCCUAAAAAACGAAGAGACCUUCUUAAACUUCUAAGAAGUGCAGCAAGGAUCAUGUCGAGUAAAAUUUGGUUCUAAAGAAGUCCAGGAGUUUGUUGAAGUACAGAAUGCUGAAAAACAUGUCCAAAUAAGUCCGAAAGUCCCUGAAAGACUGUAAUAGAGCUUCUCAUUUUUUUAACUGCUUCAAGAAGGAACUUGAAGGGUAGAAUUAAGUUGAAAAUGAUUUUAAAGAAGUCCAUAAGUUCCUAAAAAACGAAGAGACCUUCUCAAACUUCUAAGAAGUGCAGCAAGGAUCACGUUAAGUAAAAUUUGGUUCUAAAGAAGUCCAGGAGUUUGUUGAAGUACAGAAUGCUGAAAAACAUGUCCAAAUAAGUCCGGAAGUCCCUGAAAGACUGUAAUAGAGCUUCUCAAUUUUUUUACUGCUUCAAGAAGGAACUUGAAGGGUCGAAUUAAGUUGAAAAUGAUUUUAAAGAAGUCCAUAAGUUCCUAAAAAACGAAGAGACCUUCUCAAACUUCUAAGAAGUGCAGCAAGGAUCACGUUAAGUAAAAUUUGGUUCUAAAGAAGUCCAGGAGUUUGUUGAAGUACAGAAUGCUGAAAAACAUGUCCAAAUAAGUCCGGAAGUCCCUGAAAGACUGUAAUAGAGCUUCUCAAUUUUUUUACUGCUUCAAGAAGGAACUUGAAGGGUCGAAUUAAGUUGAAAAUGAUUUUGAAGAAGUCCAGGAGUUCCUAAAAAACUAAAAGACCUUCUCAAACUUCUAAGAAGUGCAGCAAGGAUCACGUUAAGUAAAAUUUGGUUCUAAAGAAGUCCAGGAGUUUGUUGAAGUACAGAAUGCUGAAAAACAUGUCCAAAUAAGUCCGAAAGUCCCUGAAAGACUGUAAUAGAGCUUCUCAUUUUUUUAACUGCUUCAAGAAGGAACUUGAAGGGUAGAAUUAAGUUGAAAAUGAUUUUAAAGAAGUCCAUAAGUUCCUAAAAAACGAAGAGACCUUCUCAAACUUCUAAGAAGUGCAGCAAGGAUCACGUUAAGUAAAAUUUGGUUCUAAAGAAGUCCAGGAGUUUGUUGAAGUACAGAAUGCUGAAAAACAUGUCCAAAUAAGUCCGAAAGUCCCUGAAAGACUGUAAUAGAGCUUCUCAUUUUUUUAACUGCUUCAAGAAGGAACUUGAAGGGUAGAAUUAAGUUGAAAAUGAUUUUAAAGAAGUCCAUGAGUUCCUAAAAAACGAAGAGACCUUCUUAAACUUCUAAGAAGUGCAGCAAGGAUCAUGUCGAGUAAAAUUUGGUUCUAAAGAAGUCCAGGAGUUUGUUGAAGUACAGAAUGUUGAAAAACGUGUCCAAAUAAGUCUAGGAGUCUCUAAAAGUCUGUAACUGGACUUUUCAAUGUUCUAAGCGCUUCAAAAAGGAACUUAAGGGGUGAAAUUAAGUAGAUCAUCGAAAAUUAAAUUUUAAUGUUUGAAAUAUUCUUCUCUCGGGAAAAAAAUGGUUUUGUCACGUUGUGCAUAAAAAUAAAUUUAGACUAGGCUAUAUUUUUGAAAAGGGGGGGGGGGGUAAAUAUUGCAAUUGAGUUGGUUCAAUUAUAACACAGCUGUCAUCUGCAUAAGAUACUACAGCGCAGGUAGCAUACAAAUUUUGUUUUGGUCUUUUACUGUAAUACCUUCUUUCAGAAUGUUCCUUAAUAUCCUCGGAUUUUACGGCACAGACCCUUACUAAGGAUCGAUUAUGAAUUUAUGUCACUUGUCAAACGUCAAACUUUGACGUUGAUUUGUUCCAGCAAGAAGUGGUUUCAGUUAUGACUGUAUUGGAAGUACCUUCCAAGAAUAUUCCUUGAAUGUUCUUAAAUAAGAAAUAUUGCAGUCACUUAAUGGGUACUAAUUUUGUAAACAUGACGCUGCUCUUAGCCACGCCCCCUUCAACAUAGGUGGGGGAGGGGGGAAAGGAAGAAUAAAAUUAGACGUUUCUAUAUACGGGGUAUGGACACACCCAAAAAUCUUGGGAAAUAUGGGCGGUAGAAAAAAUCUUUGAAUACAAAAGUUUUGGGAAAUUAAUCGGUACAUCGGAUGGUGACCUUAAACUUGAUCUUGAGCUUGACCUUUAAGGUUAUUUGAAGGUCAAAGCAAUUUUUUUAAAUGGGAACCCCUAUUUUUGACACCGGAUUCUGAAAGAGCGGAAAAUAUUACGGUCGGAUAUGUAUUGAGGUAUGAGGUUGAAGAAAUCCCAAGAGGUCAAAUAAUAAGGAUUUCCAUUUGAAGAAAUGAGGUCGACCUUCAAAUGACGUUGAAAAUGAGGUUCAACGUCAAAUCCAAGGUCACCGUUGGGUUCCUCGUUAAGACUUACCUAGGGUAUGGACCUUUAUUUUUUUUUCUUUUACCACUGAACUCGCGAGAUUUUUAAGAAGUCAUUAUUUGACCUCUCGGGAUUACUUCAACCUCAUACCUCAAUACAUACCUGGACGUAAAAUUUUCCGCCUUUUCCGAAUCCGGUGUCAAAAAUAAGGGUUCCCAUUUUAAAAAAUCGAAUCUUGACCUUCAAAUAACCUUGAAGGUCAAGCUUAAGGUCACCGUAUUUAAAGAUUUUUUCUAGCGCCCAUAUUUCCCAAGAUUUUUGGGUGUGUCCAUACUUUUGGGACACCCUGUAUAUUCAUGACAUUGUUAAUUUAUCCUGAAGAUGCGCUUGUCCCAGUAAGAAGUGGUUUCAUUUAUGUGUUGGACGUGAUUUAUUCGAUUAAUUGUAUUGGAUUUUUCUUUAGUUUUAUAGGUUAUAAAAUGGCGAUUUACUUAUACAGGGUUUAUAUUAUUAUUAUAACUGAUAGUUUGCUGAAAUAUGGAACGAGAUAAUCUGUGUAUUACAAUUUUAGAUUCUACGUAAAAUUUCAAGAAAUUUGAAGGGUAACAUGACAUAUUUUGGACUAACGGUUUUUGCAACGACGUUUCGUCUCUAUAACCAUCAUCAAUCAUUUUUUUAUUAUUGGCAGUAUUUCGAGCAUAAGAAAUUCGAUAAGAAGUAAAAAGACGUAAUUUUCAACAUUUUCUUGCAAUUUUAGCUUUUAAAGGAAAGAUCUUUAACUGCUUGUAUCUCUAAAACCGUUUGAGGGAAGUAGGGCAUGUGACCCAUCAAAUUUCACAAAAUUUCACCUAGAAUCUAUAAAUAAAAUAAUAUGAAGAGGGUGCCAUAUAAAAUAGCAAAUUUAGCAUUUGCUUAUGGUCUUUUUAAUCAAGUACGUGCUUAGUUUAUAAGGGAACCCCUAAUUUUUAUUACAUUUUUAUAUUCUCUGUAAAAUUCCAAGAAAUUUGAAGUCACAUGUCAAACAUUGAACCAACCGUUUUUGAUUUUAGCCAUCCGACGUUUCUUCUUUAUAGCCAUCAUCAGCCAUUUUCUUAUGGGCAGCAAUUCGAACAUAAAAUUAGAAACAAUAAAACAGAAUUCAAAAAUAAAAUAAUCUACUAAGAGUGCCAUAUGAAAUAACGAAGUUAGCACCUAUUUAUGGACUUUUUAAGCAGAAACUGGGUUAUUUUAUAUGGGAUGCCUUAUAUAUUAUUUCAUUUUCAGAUUCUCUGUAAAAUUCCCAGAAAUUUGAGGUGUCACAUGCCAUGCAUUGGACCAGCCUUUUUUGUUCUUAGCUAUCCGACGUUUCGUCUCUAUAACCAUCAUCAAUAUUUUUUUUAUUAUUGGCAGUAUUUCGAGCAUAAGAAAUUUGGUGAGAAGUAAAGAGACGUAAUUUUCAAAAAUUUCUUGCAAUUUUAGCUUUUAAAGGAAAGAUCUUUAACUGCUUGUAUCUCUAAAACCGUUUGAGGGAAGUAGGGCAUGUGACCCAUCAAAUUUCACAAAAUUUCACCUAGAAUCUAUAAAUAAAAUAAUAUGAAGAGGGUGCCAUAUAAAAGAGCAAAUUUAGCAUAUGCCUAUGGUUUUUUAAGCAAGAACUUGGUUAAUCUAUAUGGAACCCUAAAUAUUAUUACAUUUUUAGAUUCUCCGUAAAAUUCCAAGAAAUUUAAUGGGUCACAUGCCAUACAUUGAACCAACCGUUUUUUAUUUUAGCCACCCGACGUUUCUUCUUUAUAGCCAUCAUCAGCCAUUUUUUUUUAUGGGCAGCAAUUCGAACAUAAGAAUUUUUAUGAGAAUAAGAGAGCCGUAUUUUCUUUUUAAUUUCUUCUAUAUUUAAUCCUUAAAGGAGCAAUCUUUAACUGCUUAUAUCUCAAAAACCGUUUGAACCAAGUAUGGCAUGUGACCCAUUAAAUUUCAUGAAAUUUGACGUAAAAUUCAAAAAUGAAAUAAUCUACCAAGGGUGCCAUAUGAAAUAACGAAGUUAGCACCUAUUUAUGGACUUUUUAAGCAGAAACUGGGUUAUUUUAUAUGGGACGCCUUAUAUAUUAUUUCAUUUUUAAAUUCUCUGUAAAAUUCCCAGAAAUUUGAGGUGUCACAUGCCAUGCGUUGGACCAGCCUUUUCUGAUCUUAGCUAUCCGACGUUUCGCCUCUAUAACCAUCAUCAAUAGUUUUUUUAUUAUUGGUAGUAUUUCGAGCAUAAGAAAUUCGAUAAGAAGUAAAGAGACGUAAUUUACAAAAAUUACGUCUCUUUUUACUUUUGGUAGUAUUUCGAGCAUAAGAAAUUCGAUAAGAAGUAAAGAGACGUAAUUUAUAAAAAUUUCUUGCAAUUUUAGCUUUUAGAGGAAAUAUCUUUAACUGCUUGUAUCUCUAAAACCGUUUGAGGGAAGUGGGGCAUGUGACCCAUCAAAUUUCAUGAAAUUUCACGUAGAAUUCAAAAAGGAUAUAAUAUACAAGGAGUGUCAUACAAAAUGAUGAAGUUAGCACUUGUUUAUAGUAUUUUUAAGCAGAAACAGCUUAUUUAUCACAUACAUUUUUAGAUUCUACGUAAAAUUCCAGGAAAUUUAAUUGGUCACAUGCCAUACAUUGGAUCAACCGUUUUUUGAUUUUACCCAUUCGACGUUUCGUCUUUAUAACCAACAUCAGCCUUUUUUUUUAAACCAUUUGAGAAAAGUAUGGCCAUUCAAUUUCACUUAGAAUCGAAAAAUGAUAUAAUACACAGUGGGUGCCAUACGUAAUAGCCGAUCACCUUGUAUAAAUCAUUUGCUCGCCCUGUAUAUACAUGAUAUCAUAUAAUAUAAUGUUUACUGAUUGUAUAUUAAUUUCUUAAUAUAGUCUUAAAGUAUGUUAUUAUUGUGAUAUCCUAAAAAAUAAAGGUACAUAAGUUGGUAUUUCUUAAAAUACUCUUAUGUACAAUAAUCCUUGUUUAUAUAAAAGUUUAUAAACAAAUUGUAGUUCUAAGGCCUACCGUAUUUUUAAGGCGUUUUAGCGUAUAUAAAAGUAUCGUCCCAGAAUAUACAUAAAUAUUUUUUUAUGUCGAGAAAACCAUUUUUUUACAAUUUAACCUAAAAAGAUAACAAGCUUAUUACUAAUAAUAUAUAGUAGCGUUUAAUAGUAUAUAAGCCUUAUCUGAAAAACGAUAAUAUAUAAUGUAAAAAAAAAUGAGCAAUAUAAUAAUAAUAGUCGGAACGUAUACGUAAUUGCUGUUAAGGUUUAUUACCUAUAAAUACGUAUAUAUAGAUAUUAUAUAGAACGACUUUCUUUAAUUUUUUUGGGACGUACUGCACACUGUACAUAACAAACUAACUCCUAUUCUAGAUGUUAGAAGACUGAUAAUAUUCUAGAAUGCCUCUUCUAUAUGAUGUGUAAAUAAAGAUUUUAGUUCUAGUCAAUCUUCUCUAUAUCCCCAAAAGUGAUAUUUCCUAUAAAACUAAUUCUAAAAGGGCCUCCCCCCACCCCACUUAUUGACAUAUCAUCACUAUGUAUAUAAAUGAGAAAAAAAAUGGUUUCCCUGGGGGGGGUUUUACUAUAUAUGGUAUUUUCCUAUGUAUAGAUAAGAAUACAUACAUGCAAAAUAAAAUAGAAUGUCCCUCCUACGUAGGAAAUAAGCUGGCGACUUAUGUAUAAUAUAUUAUUAUAUAGUUAGGGAGUUAUAUAAGGUGUUUCAAGUGUGGAAUUUUUUUAAUGGUAAAUUUAUGGUAAAGUUGUGUGGAAUAAUUAGGGGUGAAAAGGUUUUUUUUUAAUUUUCUUUGCACAGUGGGAGAAACUCGUGGAAAAUUGAUAAUUAAAAAACGAGGAAUUUGUCAUGGAUUCCACUAUUAAAUGUGAAAUAUAACGUUUUUUUUUUGGUAUUCGGUCACUCGGGUAUAAAUUUUGAAAAGUAAAAAAAAAUCCAAAUCAAAAAGAAUUUUUUGCCAUGUAUUAACCAUGUAGAGGCAAUAAAAAAAGUCUUAUAAGAAAAGUCUCUAUAUAGGUACCGUAAUUUCCCAUAACAAUAGUCCACUUUUUAGAUUUUCUCUUGCUUUACAAAGCCCUAUAGACUAAAGGUUUGUUUUAAGAUAUGUUCCUGUUAGGUGACCUUAUUAGUUUGUUUAAACAAAUUAUAGAUAGACCUUAUAUAUAAAGCAAAAUAAAUAAAAAAUAAGCGGUACAAUGUUGGGCUCGUAGUUCUAUGGUCCAGAAUGAUUAUAUCAUCUAAAUGAUGCAUUGGACCAAAGUUGGUAUACUGAAACACAACUAUGGUUCAGAAAACCGAUAAUGAAAAAUAAAACUCAGAUUUUAAAGUCGAAAUUUAUUAAAAAAAAAAGGUAUUUUAGGGUAAAUUAACAUACUUUUCAAUAUCCGAUCAAUCGUAUGCAAGCACUUCAAUUACCUAAAAAGAAAACUUAUAACUCCUCAUAUGUAAAAGUAAAAUCAAAUUUUUAGGUUAAACAUUUUACAGUCAAAAUUAGUAGAAAACACAAGAUUUGUUUUUUUUUCUGUUCCUAGACUCGUUGAUAUCAUCUGGUCCUAUACUUUUGUCUGGCUCAACCUUUAAUUUUUUCUUUUUCCUGAUAAUCCGGGGAACAGUUUCUGAUUUUCUGACAUUUUCAAGAAAAGCUGUAAACGAUUUAUUGACCAAAUCAUAAUCAGAAGACUCAUUAACACUGUUGCUGCUGGGAAGUCUAGCUAAAACCUGAUCCCGAUUGAGAGGAUAAAUCCCUGCUUUUCUAAAACCAGACUGUAAAUUGGUUGCAGCAUUUUCUUUUGUUCUCCCAAACAAUUCGUUUAAAACGGAUGGAAAAACGUCUUUAGGGACUGUAGGAUGUCUUCUUCCAGCAGAAGAGCUUUUCCACUCAUCCAACAUUUUUCGCUAAUGAAUUUUAAAAGUUCGGAAAAAAGAAAUAUCCAGCGGCUGAGUUAAGUGAGUCGAGUUUGGUGGCAAUGUUAUGUUCCUCGCAUAAUUUAAUAACCUUGGGACUUAUAUGUGAGCUUAAAUUAUCUCCGUUCAUGACAGAUUUUUCAAAUCUACUGCGCUUUAUCAUGGGAAGUAGAAUUGACAUAAACCAGUCCUCAAAGCUAGAUCCAUCAAACCAUCUGCUUUUACUUCUAUUAUAUCUGGUUCCUGCAGGUCACACCUAUCCCACAUUUUUUUGGCCUUAUAGUUAACAUAUGCAGUACCUAAUUCACCUGCAGCAUUGCCACACAUCAUAAUAGAAACUGCCGCUUUAGUGGAAUUUUUAAUUUUUUCCGGAUAUUUUUUUCAAAUUUUCUAUUUUUCUAUCAAAAUUUCAAUAUUUCUAUUUCAAAAAAUUAUAUUAAGUCGGAUGAGGUUAUUAAUAUAUAGGAGAAAAGGUAUUGGUCCCAGUACCGACCCCUGAGGUACUCCCCAGGCAACAGAUUGAUAUUCAUAAUACUCCGACCCCACACACACUCUCUGACGACGACCCUUUAGAUAUGAAUAAAACCAACUCGCUGCCAAGCCCCUAAAACCAUAGUGGAAGAGCUUCCGCAGCAGAACCUCGUGACUGACGCAGUCGAAGGCUUUCGACAAGUCACAAAACACCGCAGCGGAAACUCCACCACCGUUAAUCUGACAGUAGACAUCACUCAUAAAGUUUAACAUUGCGUCAUUUGUGUUUUUAUUUUCUUGAAAGCAAAACUGAGAACCACUAAGAAUAAUCUUUGAUUUUAAAUAAGACAUCAGACGUUUUUUAACCAAUUUUUCAAGAAUCUUUGGAAGUGUGGACAGAAGGGAUAUUGGUCUAAAGUUUGAUGGUUCAGCGAGGCUGCCCGUCUUAUGAAUUGGGAUAACCUUAGCAGAUUUUAGGCAAGCGGGAAAGGUGCCCAUAACCCAUGAUGCAUUUAUACUCAGAGAGAUGUCCGGCAUGUUCAGGAGUAUUUUGGCAGAUAGGCCAUCCUCCCCGGCUGAGUUUUUGUUUUUUAUAGAAGUUAAUACCUCCUUAAGCUCAACUAAGUCUGUAGGUAUAAAGAAAAAUGAUCCUUGAAUACUGGUGCUUAAUAGUGAUAAAUAAGUAAGUGGAUCUGUUGUUGGGAAACCCAAAUUCCAAUAAAAAAGUCAUUUAUAUGACUAGCAGAACAUUCAGGGACUGCCAUGGAAUAAUUGCUGUAUGAUUGACGGAUAUCAUUAACAAUCUUCCAGCAUUCUUUAGACUUGUUUGUGGCCUUAUUUAGGCAAUUUGAAUCUUUUGGCGAUUUUUAUUAGUCGCCGAUAUAAAGACCUAUAAGAGUUAAAAUAUUGAUGAAAAGCCGGGCAAUUCGUGAACUUUCUUAAUGUGUGAAGGGAUCUCAAAUUUCUACAUGAAAUUUUAAGUCCCCUAGUUAACCAUGACUUCUUGUUCUUUUUUGGUCUAAUUUUCACCACGGGAAAAGAGAUAUUAAAGAGGUUUAUCAAUUUCCGUUGGAAACACGACAAUGGAUCCGUCGAAUUCAACACGCUUUCCCAUCCAGCAGCCACACACGAGUCAUGGAAUCUGUCGUAGUACCGCCUGCUGAAAAUUCGACCGUAGGAGCACUCAGCAGUUUUGGGGCAUUUCCCUUCACUGAUUUCACAGAUCACUGCCUCGUGGUCCGACAUGCCAGAAUUCACAACAGUGCAAUCCACCAUAUGUUCGGGAUAAUUAGUGCAAACAUAGUCAAUGGUGCUGGACGAGAACCGUGUGAUGCGAGUGGGAGACCUAACAUGCAUUUGAAGGUUAAAUGAACUGAGUAAAUUACGGAGGGUCAGUGUUAAGCAAUAGAUUUCUCAUUAUAAUUCACAUUGAAAUCUCAGUCUUUUUUUGCAGCCUCGCUUACUUAAAACAGUUUUUUUUGCCAGGUUCAUCUACCAGAUUGGUUUCGUCGUAGUUAAAUAUCGCUGUUGGAGGAACCCCUUGAACUUUGGCUUCUAAAUGGUCAAAAUAUUUGUUUAUAAUUUGAUCAUCGACAGCAGCUCGGCAUCUCUUAAUGUUACUACAAAUCCCCUUUUCUCCGUAGUAAAAAGCCUUCCAUCCAACGUUUUCCCGGAAAAUUAUUUUGAAACCUUGAUUCAUUGCGCCCGGUACUAUCCAAAUACAUCUUAAAUCAAAUGGAGUCAAGGGAAAGCCACUGUUCUUCUUUCAAAAAUACUGUUCUUCUUUCUCAGUAAAAACGCAUUUCCGUCCUGGUGGGUUUAUACAGUUAUUUUGUAUUGCUUUUAGUUUUAAAAUAAUAGUGCUGCGCGGAAUAUUAUAGGUCUCUGAAGCUUUUCCUUGAGACAUUUUUUAUAUCUCCAAUGCACUGCUCCAAAACCUUUUCGGAAUAGGGGAUAUAGGGCGUCGCCCCUACUUCCAAUUUUAAUCUAGGCAUCUGAAAAAGAAUAAAAAUGCAAUAAUUUGUUUUUUAAAAGCUAAAAUAUGCAAUGUUUUAUUUUUUGGCACAUAACAAUAGUCUGGCACCUAUAAUAGGUUAAUAUUAAUCUUUAGGAAACUGUAUCCCAACAAUGGUCCAGUGAUCAUUCAAGGUUCCAAGUAGCAUUUUUCGUAAACAAAAAAAUUUAAAAAAAAAUAAAUUAAGGUUAUAUCAAUUUCAAACAUCUUUAAUAAGUAGAAACAUAUAAAUAAAUAUACAGGAAAAAGUAUAUAAGGAAAAUCUUUACCGUAAGGGAUGGACAGCACAAAAUUCGCCGAUUAUGAAAAUCACACUUAACUGAGCCGUUUGAUCUUGUAAUUGCUCUGCGUCUGGGACCAUGCAACUGGAACAACUUCUCUAGGCGGUUUCAAUAGCUGUUGUCUUUGCGCGUAGCUGCAUUUUUCGUUCGUUUAAGUAGCGAUAACAUACACGUGAUUUUUUUAAAUUUACGCGGUCUUUGAACCAUAGUUGCGCUUUAGGACUAAAGGUAGGGGAAACUACGGUACGUAACUUUUUUCAAAGAAUCUAUGAUAAUAUGAAAAAAUUUAUUUAUAUAAAAGUUGUUUGUCUUAAUGAGAUCUAUUAUAAGAAAAAUAAAAUUAAAAUUAUUUGCCAUACAGUGGGAGAAAAUGAUAGAUAAAUGUUUAAUCAAAAAUAUAAUCUUAAUAUAAUAAUAAUAAUAAUAAUAAUAAUAAUAAUAAUAUAGACCACCAAGAGCUCCACCUGCUGAAGGUACUGCACAGGAAAUUCAGCCAGUGCUCACCCAAGCGGGACUACCAAGAAGGCGCAUAAAAUUGAACUACGUCUAUUAAUGAAACCAUAAUGCGAAUCUUCUACAGAAUCACCAACAAUGAAAGGGAGAUGGUCGGAUAUCGGCAACAACUUUACGCCGAAUUCUGCGAGAGAUAUCCAGAACUAAAUGUGACCGAACAGCGCGUUGCAGACCAGUACCGUGUAAUCCUAAGGAACAACCUUAUCCCAGAAACUCGAUUAGCAACCAUUAGACGAGAAGUGGAACUUGAACUGAAUAAUAACCCUGCUUCACCAGAAAUACCAAACGCGGAAGCACAAGCUGAACACCAGCUACUUGAACCAAUUCAACAACAAAUGCUCACUGAAAUCCGUGACAAUGAUACGCAAAAUGUUGAAAAGGAUCUUGAAAAACUGCAGGCAGAAUUCAGAAGGGCAUUGGUGGAGUUCGAUGGAACAAAUCCGCUGCUUAGACCCCCAAUACCAAAAGUGAACUCUUCACGUAGAUUGGCAACAGUUCUGGAAACGUUGAACAACAAUAUUUUGCCAGAACACCUACAGGAAGCUGGCAGUUUAUAACAGUUGCACCUGCUGAUCUACUGUGCAGCGACAGUUGUCACCAGAACUCUGGGUGUCAAGCCUAAUGCUAAGCGUGGUAAAAACAAUUUGGUAUCAAGGGGACCACCACCAUGGGCAAGAAGGUUGCAGACCAGGAUCGACUCCAUUCGGAAAGAUAUAGGGCAGCUCAUCGCAUUUAUCGGAGGAGUGCGAACAUCUAAGAUACGAAAGAACGUAACAGCAAUCAUGAGUCGUUACCAGCAUCAUGCCCAAUAUAACCCAAAAAAUCGAACACCUGAAGAAUGUUUGGAUACACUGAAACAAAAAUUAUCGGUAUAUGCAGGACGGUUUAAAAGAUAUAAAUCCAGCAAUAGCAGAAAGCAGGACAACGCGCUUUUAGUACGCUCGGAGAAAUCUUUUUAUAGAAAACUUAAGUUUUCAACCAGUCCUUGCGAAAAUAACUAUCCAAUCAACGAUAAAAUUUCAACAUUCUGGAGUAGUCAAUUAACAACGACAACACCAUGUAAUAACCAGGCAAGUUGGAUAGAUGAAGAGCGACACAAGUCUCAACUUUUCGAGCAAAUGCAUCAUCAGCCAUUUACCGCUGAAGAGGUCUCCACUAUAAUUAAAGGCCUUCACAACUGGAAAGCCCCUGGUCUAGACCACGUACAUAAUUAUUGGAUCAAAAAGCUGUGGUCAACCCACAUAUACCAACAUUUCGAGGACAACAACAUUAUUGCUGUUCAACAGAAAGGAUGUGCUAGGGGAGACAUGGGCUGUAAGGAGCAAUUGACCAUCGACUCCGUAAUUUGCAACCAGGCCUAUAGUAAUAAGAGAAAUCUCUACACCGCCUAUGUCGAUUACAAGAAGGCCUUCGAUUCUAUCCCACAUGAAUGGCUUAUUGAUGUCCUUAGGAUAUAUAAAAUAGAUGAACGCAUUGUGACUCUACUGGAGAGCACAAUGGCGAUAUGGAGAACAACUAUGCAUCUACAACUUCCUACUGGAGAGAGUAUUGAGACAAACACAAUACCGAUCCGUAAGGGUAUAUUCCAGGCUCUCUGAGUCCACUUUGGUUCUGUCUAGCCAUGAAUCCUCUAUCAUCUCGACUCAAUUCCACCUCUUACGGCUUUGCUAUUAAGAAGAAUAGUAGGGAAAUCGCAAGAGUCAAUCAUUUGCUCUCUAUGGACGAUCUAAAGCUAAUGGGUGCCACUAGUAAUCAACUGGAUCAGAUGCUGAACAUCGUGGAGGAAUUCUCUGCUGAUAUCAUCUUAACAACAUUGUACGAGGAAAGAUGCAGCCGGGAUCCUGCGAGAUGCAGGAUGGCCAAACUAUAGAUGCCAUGGAAGAAGGUGAUACAUCCAAAAACCUGGGAAUGGUGCAGGCAGCGCGAAUAGACCACCGAACAAUGAAAGAUAAACUCACUGCUGAGUUUACAACAAGAGUAAAGCACAUAGUGAAAACGAGCCUCAACAGUAAGAAUCUAUUUAAGGCGUUGAAUACGUAUGCCUGUACAGCACUAACAUAUUCCUUUGGAAUUGUGGGAUGGAGCAAGACGGACAUCCAGAACUUGCAACGGAAGGCACGAACAUUAUUGACUAAGGCUCAAAAACACCACCCUCGAAGUGCCACAGAAAGAACUACGCUACCAAGACAUCAGGGAGGUAGAGGAUUGGCAGACAUUGGCAAACAGUUAGACCGACAAAUUUCAGUUCUGAGAAAUUUCUUUCAUGAAAAGGCUAGAUCGUCCGCUCUGCACCGUGCUAUAUGCGAGGUCGAUGACUCUACACCUCUGAAACUGAAGAAUCGCGAAAAUAAAAGUCACCACGUCACUGAUGAAGAAAAACAUCGAUCAUGGGCACAAAAACCACUGCACGGGCGACACGUCAACGAGGUUAGCCAGGGACAUGUCGACACCAACGCGUCGAACUACUGGUUAACUUCGGGACAACUGUUUCCCGAAACGGAAGGUUUCCUCUUGGCCAUACAAGACCAAGUUAUUCCGACUAGAAACUACUUGAAGUGCAUUAUUUCGGAUCCUUCAGUACAGAGUGACAAAUGUCGAUAUGGAUGCCAAGUGACAGAAUCCAUCCAACACAUAACGGGAGGAUGUCAAACGUUUGCCCAAACUGAGUAUAAGGCACGUCAUGACUGCGUGGGAAACAUAUUACACCAAGAACUUGCAUUUAAGCUGAACCUCUUGAGAACGGACAAAGUUCCAUAUUACAAUUAUACUCCAGAGCCAGUUCUUAAAAAUGGCGAGUAUAAAUUGUACUGGGACCGAACUGUUCUCACCGACCAAAGAACUGUCAACAAUAGAUCAGAUCUUAUCCUGGUGGAUAAGCGACUAAGGAGAACCACGCUGAUUGACGUUGCUACAGGCAAAACAAAAAAUAUUUUACAAUUUUUUUUCAAAAAAUGAACAAUACAGAAGUUAUAGGCAUUUUUUGGUUUUUGGCCAAAAAUUAAUGAAAAAUUUAAAAAUUGUCCGAAUUAAAAAAAAAAAUUGUCGUGUAUUAAUCAUAAAGAGAAUAAAAAAAAAGUAUUAUAAGACAAGCUUAUAUUUCUCAUAGGAGAGUUAGGAAAAAAUAAAAAAGUUUAUAUCUAGGGGCACGUAAAAUUUAUUAUUUAUAAUCAUAUUUAAUUUUUUUACAAAAAAUCUAUGGCUUCACGAGAGAUUUAAUUCAUGUAAAAGUUGAUUGGCUUAAAGAGGUCUUUCUUUGGAAAAAAUACUUUUAAUUUUAUUUGCCAUACAGUGGGAGAAAAUUACAAAAAACCUCUAAUCAAAAAAUGCGAUUUUUUCGAAGCGUAUGGAAAAAGUUUUAUUUUUUAUUUUUGCAAUAGAUGUUCAUUUUGAAGAUAUAACCAAAAGUGUUUUAUAUUUUUUUUCAAAAAACAAACACUAAAAAAGUUAUAGGCAUUUUAAAAAUUGCCUAAUUGAAAAAAAAUGUCUUUGUGUUAUAUUAGUCAUAGCGACACAAUAAAAAAAUAACAAGAGUCCAAAGAAAAGAAAUACUGGAAAAUUUUGAAAAAUCACAACUUUUCUUACUAAAAACCCACUUAUCAAGCUCCACCACCACAGAACACCCAACUUUUGGAGAAUUCACACUUGAACCACCUCAUAUACAUACAUUUAUUUUUUCUAGGAAGAAUUUACACUUAUAUAAGUACAAAUCCUUCCUUAGUCUUCCUUUAAGUUCGACUUCCGAAUACUACUGCUAGGAUAUAAUGUCGUGUGUAGUGUAUGUAAUAAUUGUUGGCAAAAGUACCACCUACUACCCCCCACGUUGUGCUCAUAUUUUUUUAUAAUUAUGUGCCAUUUAGUAUGUUAUAACUUGUACUGUACAGUAUUUAACAAUAAAUUAAGGUUUAUAAAUGA